Molecule: ribosomal RNA, 94 nt
Filed under: Maxillaria inaequisepala
Lineage: Eukaryota; Viridiplantae; Streptophyta; Magnoliopsida; Asparagales; Orchidaceae
Also listed under: 2 other names
Description: 5.8S ribosomal RNA
Rfam family: 5.8S ribosomal RNA
About the family: 5.8S ribosomal RNA (5.8S rRNA) is a component of the large subunit of the eukaryotic ribosome. It is transcribed by RNA polymerase I as part of the 45S precursor that also contains 18S and 28S rRNA. Functionally, it is thought that 5.8S rRNA may be involved in ribosome translocation.
Source: RNAcentral
GACACGACUCUCGGCAAUGGAUAUCUCGGCUCUCGCAUCGAUGAAGAGCGCAGCGAAAUGCGAUACGUUGUGCGAAUUGCAGAAUCCCGCGAAC